This 80-nucleotide small nucleolar RNA is filed under the name Setaria italica (foxtail millet). Its description in RNAcentral is "snoRNA snoJ33". It matches the Rfam family "Small nucleolar RNA J33". Rfam says of the family: J33 is a member of the C/D class of snoRNA which contain the C (UGAUGA) and D (CUGA) box motifs. Most of the members of the box C/D family function in directing site-specific 2'-O-methylation of substrate RNAs. RNAcentral also lists the same sequence under 1 other name. The record is from Rfam by way of RNAcentral. Lineage: Eukaryota; Viridiplantae; Streptophyta; Magnoliopsida; Poales; Poaceae.
CAGUGAGGGGCAUGAUGUACUACUACGAAGCUCUCAAAAUGCUGACCUUUCUGGAUUCCGCCUCUGAACAUGACUUAAAG